AGCUCUGUAAGCGUAUAUCAAAGUUGUUGCAGUUAAAACGCUCGUAGUCGAACGUAGGCGCUUGGUGCGGGACCUCCUCGCGGAUGGUUUUGCGCUGGGCGCCUUUGUGGAGGGGGGCUUGGUGGUGCUUUAUUGCCUCGCCAAGUUCCUGCCACCGUUUACUGUGAAAAAAUUAAGGUGUUCAAAGCGGGCGUUUGCCAUGAAUACAUUAGCAUGGAAUAAUAGAAUAGGACCUGGUCUUAUUUUGUUGGUUUGUAUAAUUUCAGGUAAUGAUUAACAGGGACGGUUGGGGGCAUUUGUAUUCCGAGGCGAGAGGUGAAAUUCUUAGACCCUCGGAAGACAAACAGCUGCGAAAGCGUUUGCCAAGGACGUUUUCAUUGAUCAAGAACGAAAGUACGCA
RNAcentral lists this ribosomal RNA (400 nucleotides) under phytoplankton environmental sample. RNAcentral describes it as "partial small subunit ribosomal RNA". It matches the Rfam family "Eukaryotic small subunit ribosomal RNA", at positions 587 to 995 of the family's 1831-position model. The record is from RNAcentral.